UGGAAUCUCGCUUUGCUCUGAAAACACCCCAGAGGUAGUGCUUACCCUGGAAUCCUGCCAAUUGAUUUUCUCAAACAGCUUAACAAUGAACCUUGGAUAACGAAGGUAAUGCAAACCUAGAAUACAUACUCAUCUUUAAUCAAAUACUCCUACUCCCACAAUUCUAGUUUAUAUUAUCUCAUUUGAUUUGGCACGGUUAUAUUAUACUGAAAGUGGGUCCAAACUUCCAGCUAAAAGUAUUUUUAGGAGAAUUAACAAUUUUUAAAUUUAAGAGAAAUUGUCCAUAAAGCAUUAACCCAGUGGCAAUAUGACAAGGCAUACAACCUUCACCUUUGAUAAGCAGGAAUGAUGAUUGGUUAAUUUGUUGGCUUAAUGUAAGGAUAUAUAAUAAGAAGCAACUUUUUUCUAAAGAAACUGACUUUCAUUCAAUAGGAUUGAAUGUGCUUGGGCUGCCCUGUGCUCAGUCUGCCCUGUGCUUGGGCUUAAAAAAUAUUCAAGUCUCCCCCUUUUCUAGCCCACACGAAGACACUGUCUCUCUGCCUAAACAUUUUUUGGGAAUCAUACCUUCUGGAACUCCAAUCUAUCCACUGACCACCAAUCCUCAACUUCCCAUUACCAAUCUCCUAUCAAUCAAAGACAAGUCUCCAAGUUUUCUUUUGUUUUUUAAAACUUUUACUAGAAUAUAAAGAAAACAUUGAGAACUAGAGAUGGUCCCACUGUUAGAAAGUUAUAGAGUAUCGUAUUGGGGAGUUCGGGACAAACCAAAAUAGAAAGUACGUGUAUAAUAACUCACUCCAGUAUAGCAGGGGUAGUUCCGUAGAAGUGAAAACCAAAAGCUCGGCAUUAGUUACUAUUGCUCGAAGAGCAAGUUCGUUACUGAUCAUCUUCUCCACCAACUGAUCAAACACCUUUUCCCAUCUAUAGCAAGAAAAAUAGGAGGAGAAUAAACCAAAACUUGAUCAAAAUAACCGGUGAAUGGUGAAAAUAUACAAGUAAUUACCUUAUGUCCGAUGGGAAAAAAUACAAUGCAAUGUUAUCAUCAGUCGGCUCUGAUAUAGUGAAACUCUUAGGCCAUAAGUCAGAUUUUGGAAGCAUUUCCAGUUGAAGCGAAGCUGGAAGCAAACUUGCUUCUUCAAAAACCUUUUGGCAUGCUUUAACUGAAAGGUGAGCUUGUCCAUAAAAUGUCUCAUACUCUUUGUUCCAGAUGUUAAAACUACCCCUGUCAGAUCACAAUAAGAAUAAAUUUUCAUUUGCACAAUAAUAGAUCCAUCGGUUAGAUUAUCUCCCGAGUUAAAAUUCAUGACAUAUCUCCUGACCUCCAAAUGAAAUCAAUAAGAGGUUGUGCUCGGUCUUGGCCACCAUGUUUGGGUUCAUUUGGCUGUUCACCUUUUGAAAAUUGAGAAGGAUCUCCAUUAACAACAGUUCUAGAUUGAGGUGUUAAUCUUCUAUCAUUUCCAAUCGUCGAUUCCUCUUCAUGAUGAUUGCUACGGGACGACAUACUCAUUGUCUUUUCAAUCAUGCCAGAAGAAUCAUCCUGUGUGCCAGGCUGAACAUCUCCCUCACAAGGUUCCUUCAAAUGACGAGCUUGCAAUUCUUCCCUUGCCAGUGGGCCGGUAACUUCUUCCUUUGAUCGCUUAGCUGGCAAUGGAGAAACAUUAGCUGAUUGAGUUCGUUCAUUGCACUGAAUGCUUAUCUGUGACUCGUGGGAUUGCUCAGAAGAGCAACGUACUAGUCUUUGCUCAUAUUUCUCAUCUCUUAAUGAAGCAGGAUUAGAUCUCUUCUUGCUCGUCUUCACAACUGGACUAUCACCCGCUAUCCGACAAUUCUCUACCAAAUCAAUCCCAGCACCUGGCUGAUGAAGUUGCUGAUCCCUACCUUGACAACUCUUUAAUUUUGUCUCAGGAACAUCCACUUUUGCUUUAGAAGUUGCUUUACAAUGUCUUGAACUAGUGCAAUCCCCAUUUUCUACUGAGAUGGCAUCAGAUUUCUUGAUGUUUAGUCCGUCUGGCUCCUUCACUUCACAGUCAUCACAGACCCAGUUGACAAAUUCCUUGAAGGUGACUUUUUUAAGGCAGUAGCUGAAAAAUAAGCAAGAUCAACAAACCAUAUAACGAAACAAAAAAGGAUAACCUGUAACCCAUCUUGGUAUUUAACCUUUAACAGCAACUAAUAAGUCAUGCCACAGAAAUUAUUAUUUAAAAGAAAAGAAAAUUGUUAGUUCAAAGACCUAAAGAAAAGAGAAAAAUCAUGAGAAACUAAGAGAAUGAAAGAGACAUUAAUGAAGGCUUAAUAAUGUGAUUAGUACAAUGCACACAUUUCUGUAUGAUAUUUGUGUAAUGUCAAAUAAUAUCCAAAUUAAGAACUUAAGUAUGCGAAACGUUAAAAUUCUAGCACACUCGAAGUCAACAACAACAACAACCACCUAGUACAAUCCCACGUGUGGAGUCUGGGGAGGGUAGUGUGUACGCAGACCCUACCCCUGCCCCGGAGGGUAGAGAGGCUGUUUCCGAAAGACCCUCGGCACAAGGAGAUGAAAAGGUGGCAACAAUAACAACCACAUAUGUCAAGAAGACAGUGCGAGCAACCUAAGAAUCAGAAAAAUAAAUGGAAAAAGCAAUAUCAAUAAUCAGAAUAAUGGAAAGGUACUAGGCAAUCGGAGCAGAAAACAAUGCAAACACAACAAGUACCACUAACAAUCUAAAGACACUACAAACUAGCCUAACACCCUCAACAGGGAAGAAAGACGCUCAACUACCUACUAACCUACAAACCUAAUGCUCGCCCUCCAAGCCUUCCUAUCUAAGGUCAUGUCUUAGGUGAGCUGGAGUCGCGCCAUGUCCUGCCUAAUCACCUCUCCCCAAUAUUUCUUAGGCCUCCCUCUACCUCUUCUCACAAGUGACAAAGCCAACCACUUGCACCUCCUAACCGGGGCGUCAAGGCUUCUCCUCCCCAAACCAUCUAAGCCUCGCUUCCCGCAUUUGUCAUCUGUGCGCCACCCCCACCUUUGCUAGAAUAUCCUCAUUCCUAAUCUUAUCCAAUCUAGCAUGCCCGCACAUCCACCUCAACAUCCUCAUUUCUAUUACUUCCAUCUUCUGGAUAUGCGAGUUCUUGACUGGCCAACAUUCUGCCCCAUACAACAUAGCCGGUCUAAUCACUGCUCUAUAAAACUUGUCUUUAAGUUCUGGUGGCACCUUUUUGUCACACAAGACUCCAGAUGCUAACCUCCAUUUCAUCCAUCCCGCCCCUAUACGGUGUGUGAUAUCCUCGCCAAUCUCCCCGUUCCCCCGGAUAAUAGACACAAAAUACUUAAAACUUCCUUUCCUGGGGAUGACUUGUGAAUCAAGCCUUACAUCACUGUCCGCUUCCCCAGUUACAUCACUGAACUUGCACUCCAAGUAUUCUGUCUUAGUCCUGCUCAACUUGAAACCUUUAAACUUCAGGGUCUGUCUCCAAACCUCCAGCCUCUCGCCGACACCGCCUCGCGUCUCAUCAAUCAGGACUAUAUCAUCAGUAAAUAACAUACACCAUGGCGCCUCUCCCUGAAUAUGGUGCAUUAGCGCGUCCAUCGCCAAGGCAAAUAGGAAAGGACUGAGCGUUGAUCCUUGGUACAACCCCAUAACUACCGGAAAAUGCUCUGAGUCACCUCCCAUUGUCCUAACUCGAAGUCAAAGCAGGCAAAUUAUUGGAUUUGCUUAUUUUGAGAAUGUAGAAACAUUUCGUUGGAAAUCUACAAAAUGCUACCAGAAAAGUUGUGGUUGCUGGAAUCUCGCCAAGAUAGCGGAUGUGAAAACGAUUACCAGAAAAGGUCACGUCAUUACCUGGACGAUCAUCAAAAGAGAAGCGGCGCCAUCAUAACAAUCACAGGAAAGAAGAGCGAACGCUGAAACGGUCAUCGAAAAGAGAUACGCACCUCUACAACAAUCACUGGAAAUAUGCACGAUAUAGUUGGAAUGAUCGUCAAAAUUAAGUGCAGCAUUACCAAAACAGCUAUAAGAAAGAGGAAAGGCACUGCUGUAAAAUGACUUAGUGCUAUUUGAGCAGCCGCAUGAAAAAAGUUGUGAUGCUGCCAGAGAAGUGUGGUGCCGCCUGAUUGGUCACCGGAAAGAGACAUGGUAACCAAGGUGGUCACUGCAAAGAAGGAAGGAGGAAAAACUUUUAACCGGUCAAAUGACACAAGGCCAUCAGCUGGUAGGGAGAAGCUACUUGAUUCUCUACCAAGAUCGUAGAGGCUCUAAUAACUAUAGUAUCAGACGCAUUAUACAUAUGAUAUUGGUCCAAUGUGAAUUAAUAAGCAACAUAAGAACCCAACUCUUCUACCACUAUAACUCAAACAUUCUAACAGAAAACAGAACCCUGGAGGAACAGGAAGUUGCUUUCUGAUCAAAGAACCAACAUUUUGUACAACAUUCAAACAAUGAAUAGCUCAAAAAAAUUGAAUUGCCCAUUAUAAGCUUCCUUUUCAAGGUUAAUUUAAGUGUUGAAGGCAAAGGGUUGUAGCCUUGUAGGUCCAUCAAAUUUCAAAGAACUUUUAGUUUGCAAAGAUCCAUUUUAAUAAGACAAUGAUUUAAUGAAUAAAUGGCAUUGCAACAUACAAAAGUAUGGUUUUACAACAAAACCGAAACUUCAUCCAUCUAUAUAGCUUUUUUUGAUAAGUAACUUCAUUCACCUAUACAAUGUAGAAUAUCAUUUCAAAGCAAAAGAUAUAAAUGAAAUAAAAAGGAGCUCUUGACUCUCCACAAUGGACUCUGUAGGAGCAACUCUCAAAAGCCCUUCAUAUUGACCAUCUUUUGUAUUUUCUAACUUGUUGACACUUCCGAUACGCACCAGGAACUCCCAAACUAUGUUACUUAAACAUACAAUAAUCAAGGAUCAUAGAUAUGUGGCAAAACUACAAUGUAUUAAUACAUGGUCUACAUCCUCCCCGUCUUUCCUACACCAGCAGCACCAAUUGACUAGCAUUUGUCUUCUCUCUCUUAGGUCAUCUGUCGCUAAGAUGGCAAUCAAAACUGCAUAAUGCAUAAGAAAAUCAUUUUGUUUGGUCCCUUGUCCUCCAAAAUGUGAUUUCACGUGGGCUUUGAAUCAACCACUAUUAUAAAAAAGAUCACAAAACAACUGCACUGAGAACUUUUUGAAAGUUCUUUACCAAUGAUCUUCCCCAAAUCACUGUCUCUUUUACUAAAUAAUACUCCCUCUGUUCCAACUUGUGGGCACAUUUGACUAGAUACAAAGUAAAGAAAUAAAGGAAAACUUUUGAUAUAGAAUAAAUAUGAACAAAAUACCAAAAGUAUUCUUGUACCAAAUAAUUUGUUUUGGUAUCCUCUGGACCCUACAACAAGUCAUGACAUAGCAGAAUGGGAAUGUAAAAUUACAGUAACUUCUAAAUAUAGAAAGGUACAAAUCUUUUAGGAAUGGACAAAAAACAAACAGAGCAAAGCAAAUUUGAAUGGAGGAAGUACUACAGUAAAUUUUCUAUAAAAAGUUGUUAAUAUCAUUUCCACUUCCAAUAAUAUAUAGAUCUUCUGAAAGAUAUAUUCAUCGACAUUUGGUUUCCCACUCUUUAAGGAGCUCGACUACUGGAGGGAGAUGCAUCAAAGGGGGUUCUAGUGGAUGGUCUAUUUGGAGAUGGGUCAUCUCAGAGCUUCUUGAAAGGAACUUGUUUUUUGGUACUUGCUCUUUUUCUUUCUUGGAAUACCUAUAUAAUUGUUGCUGGUAUGAGCGAUUUCUCCACUUAGUAUAAACACUAAAUUGGGGUAUUUCCCUUUCAAACAUUAGAAUUUAUUACCUCAUCAAAAAAGUUUAGGAGCUCUGUUAUUGUUACCACUUUGAUAGUUGAGAGAGUUUGUAUGUUCCUUUCCUAUUACUUUUCAGUUUUCCUUUCACACUCAGGUUGUAUAUCUCCUGAAUUAUUCAGAUGAAACUUCUGCUGCUGUGAAUUGAUUAAUUGAAUUUUCUGG
RNAcentral lists this long non-coding RNA (5954 nucleotides) under Nicotiana tabacum (common tobacco). Its description in RNAcentral is "long non-coding RNA (NTAB_LNC016854)". The record is from RNAcentral. Lineage: Eukaryota; Viridiplantae; Streptophyta; Magnoliopsida; Solanales; Solanaceae.